UCUUAUUGGGUGAUGGGUAUCAUAAUGUUCUACAUGGGCGACUUUUGAGUUUCAUGGAGAAGAGAGAGAGAGCCACAUGUCAAAGUGGAAUAAAUUUUAAGUUUCAAGGAGUAAAGUGAUAACUUUUAAGCUACAGAAAUAAAGUGAGAUCAAAAUCGAAUUUUAAUAGACGUGGCUAAAAAAUAAGCCGUUUAUUUAUUGACACAAAAGACUACCGUGAAGAUGUACUUGGAUCAUAUAAAUCAUUCUUCAAUCGCAUUUUGAGGAACUUCACAAUAAAACAAGUUCAUGGUCCAUAUGGCAUCCCGAUUUAAUAUUCUAUUGCUAUGUAGAAGUUCUCUUCACAUGUGAAAUACAUUAUUAGUUACAAAUUCUACAAUAAUAAUUCAUUUCAAGUAAGAUGUUCUAGGCCACAGCAGGUCAACCCCGGCGAGUCAAUGAACAGGUCAACAGGGUUUAGGAUGACGGCUGGCUCGAGCCAGCAACCAGAAGCCUGUUACUUGGCAAAUGCCUACGUGGCGCACAAUCAUUUGGUACCAAACUGUGAGGUCAGCCGAACGGAACGCACAACACGGUUCAUCUUCAAAGUGGGACGAACCACCAAAAUCCGUUUUGAUAUGGAACGGGUUCAUGCUUAUACAGUGUUUUUUUUUUAAUUGUUGAAUUAGACGCUAUGCAACCGUGAAUACGUACAUACAAAUUAUUUUCACAAACUUACCGUAUAGAUAUAAUUAUAAUUUAUUUCAAUUUUAUUUUUUGUGAACUUUCGCUAUUCGAGUGGUGG
This 784-nucleotide long non-coding RNA is filed under the name Malus domestica (apple). RNAcentral's name for it is "long non-coding RNA (MDOM_LNC003257)". Lineage: Eukaryota; Viridiplantae; Streptophyta; Magnoliopsida; Rosales; Rosaceae. The record is from RNAcentral.